UACAGGGGGUGCAAACGUUGCUCGGAAUUACUGGGCGUAAAGCGUGCGUAGUCGGUUAUUUAAGUCGGGUGUGAAAUCCCCGGGCUCAACCUGGGAACUGCAUUUGUGACUGCAUAGCUAGAGUACGGUAGAGGGGGAUGGAAUUCCGCGUGUAGCAGUGAAAUGCGUAGAUAUGCGGAGGAACACCGAUGGCGAAGGCAAUCCCCCUGGACCUGUACUGACGCUCAUGCACGAAAGCGUGGGGAGCAAACAGG
RNAcentral lists this ribosomal RNA (254 nucleotides) under uncultured bacterium. Its description in RNAcentral is "partial 16S ribosomal RNA". It matches the Rfam family "Bacterial small subunit ribosomal RNA", at positions 524 to 776 of the family's 1533-position model. The record is from RNAcentral.